UACGUAGGGUCCGAGCGUUGUCCGGAAUUACUGGGCGUAAAGGGCUCGUAGGCGGUCUGUAGCGUCGGUAGUGAAAACUCAGGGCUCGACCCUGAGCGUGCUUUCGAUACGGGCAGACUAGAGGUAUGCAGGGGAGAAUGGAAUUCCUGGUGUAGCGGUGGAAUGCGCAGAUAUCAGGAGGAACACCGGUGGCGAAGGCGGUUCUCUGGGCAUUACCUGACGCUGAGGAGCGAAAGCAUGGGGAGCGAACAGGAUUAGAUACCCU
This 265-nucleotide ribosomal RNA is filed under the name uncultured prokaryote. Its description in RNAcentral is "partial 16S ribosomal RNA". It matches the Rfam family "Bacterial small subunit ribosomal RNA", at positions 524 to 788 of the family's 1533-position model. The record is from RNAcentral.